GCGAAUUCGCCCUUAGAGUUUGAUCCUGGCUCAGGACGAACGCUGGCGGCGCGCCUAACACAUGCAAGUCGAACGAGAGAUGAGGAGCUUGCUCUUCAAAUCGAGUGGCGAACGGGUGAGUAACGCGUGAGGAACCUGCCUCAAAGAGGGGGACAACAGUUGGAAACGACUGCUAAUACCGCAUAAGCCCACGGCUCGGCAUCGAGCAGAGGGAAAAGGAGUGAUCCGCUUUGAGAUGGCCUCGCGUCCGAUUAGCUAGUUGGUGAGGUAAUGGCCCACCAAGGCGACGAUCGGUAGCCGGACUGAGAGGUUGAACGGCCACAUUGGGACUGAGACACGGCCCAGACUCCUACGGGAGGCAGCAGUGGGGAAUAUUGCACAAUGGGGGAAACCCUGAUGCAGCGACGCCGCGUGGAGGAAGAAGGUCUUCGGAUUGUAAACUCCUGUUGUUGAGGAAGAUAAUGACGGUACUCAACAAGGAAGUGACGGCUAACUACGUGCCAGCAGCCGCGGUAAAACGUAGGUCACAAGCGUUGUCCGGAAUUACUGGGUGUAAAGGGAGCGCAGGCGGGAGAACAAGUUGGAAGUGAAAUCCAUGGGCUCAACCCAUGAACUGCUUUCAAAACUGUUUUUCUUGAGUAGUGCAGAGGUAGGCGGAAUUCCCGGUGUAGCGGUGGAAUGCGUAGAUAUCGGGAGGAACACCAGUGGCGAAGGCGGCCUACUGGGCACCAACUGACGCUGAGGCUCGAAAGUGUGGGUAGCAAACAGGAUUAGAUACCCUGGUAGUCCACACCGUAAACGAUGAUUACUAGGUGUUGGAGGAUUGACCCCUUCAGUGCCGCAGUUAACACAAUAAGUAAUCCACCUGGGGAGUACGACCGCAAGGUUGAAACUCAAAGGAAUUGACGGGGGCCCGCACAAGCAGUGGAGUAUGUGGUUUAAUUCGACGCAACGCGAAGAACCUUACCAAGUCUUGACAUCCCUUGACGAUGCUGGAAGCAGUAUUUCUCUUCGGAGCAAGGAGACAGGUGGUGCAUGGUUGUCGUCAGCUCGUGUCGUGAGAUGUUGGGUUAAGUCCCGCAACGAGCGCAACCCUUAUGGUCAGUUACUACGCAAGAGGACUCUGGCCAGACUGCCGUUGACAAAACGGAGGAAGGUGGGGAUGACGUCAAAUCAUCAUGCCCCUUACGUCCAGGGCUACAGGCGUGCUACAAUGGCCGGUAUAAAGAGAAGCAAUACCGUGAGGUGGAGCAAAUCUCCAAAGCCGGUCCCAGUUCGGAUUGUAGUCUGCAACUCGACUACAUGAAGUUGGAAUCGCUAGUAAUCGUGAAUCAGAAUGUCACGGUGAAUACGUUCCCGGGUGUUGUACUCACCGCCCGUCA
This 1382-nucleotide ribosomal RNA is filed under the name uncultured bacterium. RNAcentral's name for it is "bacterial SSU rRNA". It matches the Rfam family "Bacterial small subunit ribosomal RNA". The record is from RNAcentral.